RNAcentral lists this long non-coding RNA (209 nucleotides) under Theobroma cacao (cacao). Its description in RNAcentral is "long non-coding RNA (TCAC_LNC006351)". The record is from RNAcentral. Lineage: Eukaryota; Viridiplantae; Streptophyta; Magnoliopsida; Malvales; Malvaceae.
AAUUUUGAUGAAAAGAAAUUGUUUGGUAUAGAUUGAAACGAAUUUUGCGUUAUGAACAUUAUUGAGAUAUAACGUUUUUAUAUUGUCUCCAUCUACUCGGCUUUAGAUGCUUUUGAUGGUAAUUGUUUACUCACUGGGAUUAUGUAAUCUCACCCCUCUUCCUAUCCAUUUUUCAAGCUCAGGACAGUUUGUUGAUAGUUGAUUAAGAC